Mus musculus (house mouse) is the source of this 3464-nucleotide long non-coding RNA. RefSeq annotates it as predicted gene, 34974. NCBI's taxonomy places the organism in Eukaryota, Metazoa, Chordata, Mammalia, Rodentia, Muridae. The transcript has 6 exons. The record is from RefSeq and is a predicted model, not a curated record.
UACACAUAAUAUAAUUAAAAACAAGAUAUAUAUAUAUAUAUAUAUAUAUAUACUCUCACACACACAUAUCAGUAGGCAUAGGCAUAUUAGAUUAAGGAUCUCACCCCACUCAAGUAUAAACUCAUCUUUUUUUCUGAUCUUAGGCUGGGCUCAAACUGGUGACUCUCCUGCUUCAGCCUCCUGUGAGGUGGGACUAUAAGUGGUGGUUUGAGUCCUAUAAGAAAGCAGGCUGAGCAAGCAAUGAGGAGCAAGGCAGUAAGCAGCACCCCUCCAUGUUCUCUGCUUCAACUCCUGCCUCCAGGUUCUGCCCAGUUUGAGCUCUUGUCCUGACAGCCUUCAGUGAUGAAUAAUGAUGUGGAAAUAGUGCCACCAACUGGAGACCACAUGUUCAAAGGCCCAAAACGAGGAGCACUUCUCAUUCAAGCCAUCAUACAGUGUAAGAUUGACUCUGGCUUUGAGGUGUAGCUUCUUUCCUCUGCUCUUCUGUGCAAAGCCUUCCUAGAAAUGGAAGACGUCUGCAUAGAGUGAUCAGUGGGUACAGGCUCCUCAUCUGCAGAUGGGAAAGGGGAUUGAAUCCAGAACCGGAAGCACGUUCGGCCAGCGCUCUGUGGCUAAGCCUCACCUCUCUCCCUGUGUGGCUGUCUGGAGUCUGGACACUCUUCUUAGGAAGACUGCUAAAGGUCUCCGUGGAGGUCAUCCACAUGGUCAUGGUGUCACCUGCAUUUGAGGCAUGGUCUGUCAAGUUAAGUAGGAAGCUAUUUUGUGGAGUCAUUUAAGAUUAGACAACAAGCCAGUCCCAAAUGCCUCUCUUUGAUGACCAUCCUGAUGGUCUUGUCUAGCCCUUGUCUUAUUUAAUAGUGAAGGAAAAAGAGACAGGGGCUGGGGGGAGGGCUCAGUCUGGAAAGUGCCUGCCAUGCGGAUGAGGACGUUGGGUCAGGUCUGCAGCACCCUUGGAAAAGCUGGGUGUAGCAGUGUGUGUCUGUAACCCCAGUGCUGGGGCAGGGGAGAGAGGAGGACCCCUAGAACUCACUGGACACACAGCCUAGCAACCAAUGAGCUCCAAGUUCAGUGUGAGACUUCCCCCCACCCCCCCAAAAAAAUCAGGCACCAAGUGCUAGAGAAAGACACCAACAUUGAACUUUGGUCUUCACAUGUACACGUGCAUACGUGCACACACAUGAACAUGGACAAAUAGCACCCAUGAGGAAAAAAAGGAGUAGAAAUAAUUGACCUAGCAUAUGCUGGGGCUUUUGAAAAUACUCAAGUUAUUGUAUGUCUUAUAGUUCAUAAACCUUACUGGCCAGGUGUAGUUCCAAGUCACAGGUAAGAAGACACCAUUCAGAGCUCAGGUGACAUGCAACCCUCCCCACCUCCACCCCAGGAGCACCGGUUGCAGGAGCUGGGACUGCGCUGUGACCCUUGGUUUCCAUGUCUGAGCAUCCUUCUGCCUCUCUACAGCUGGGUAGCUCUAUAAAAAUGAGCUAGACCCCAGCCUGGGGAGGAGAGGGAAGGCUUGUUCUUGGCCAAGUUUCAUUUAAUUUUCCAUCAGUAGGUGUCAACUGUGAAGUAGUCAGAAAUGCUAAAAUAACAGCUUAAAAACAUAGGCACCGAAAUGGAAAUGUAAUUUUAGCGCACGCCUCACCAGCCCCUCCUGAAGAUAAGUGCAGCUUGCGGGGUAUCUGUUACAGACAUGUAACACUUAAGGACCGAGCUCGCAGGAGUAGCUGGCGAUGUGCAAUUUAGCAACUUGGGCUGUGAAAGAAGAAGGGAACGGGGAGGGAAAGAGCACCGUGGGCAGAACACGGGGAAACAAAGGGAGAUGGAGGUGGAGAGAAGGCACAGAGCAUCCCUGCCUCUACUUGGAGUUUUCGAUAAUAGCCAGGGAAAUGGCUUGUUAGAUAAAAGAAGCUGGCCCGGGAGACAUUAUCACAGAGACUCCUGUUAGAGGGGAAAAGAGGAGGGUUAGGCAGUCACACAUUGAGGCUCUGCUUUGAAGUCUAGGGAGCCCCCUUGCUCCCUUGCAGUGUGCCCAGACUGCGGCUGGUCCCCUGAGUCAGGGAGAGCAUGAGCUCUGCUGUGUCCCUCCUUUGGGACACAGCGGAUGAUCUGCUUACAGAAAUCUGACACAAGAAAUGGCGGAUUGGGCCCAAGGCACUCAGUCUUCUGUUAUGGGAAGGAAGGGACGGCUAUUAUCUUGGGAUGCUACGGAGAGAGAUGAAGGGGAUCAAACUCAGGUCAUCGGGCAUGACGGCGAGCACCUUCACCUGCUGGAUCAUCUUGCUGGCCCCACAGACUUUCCCACUGCGGCAUUCUGAUUUGUCUAGACUGGCUGACCAGCAAGCCUCAGAGGUCCUCCCGCCUCUGCCUCCCUGUGCUGCAAUUGCAGGAGAGCUUCAUUUGGACCCACUCUCAGGCAUUGUGACUUCAUCCCUUGUGCAGAGCUGUGAGGUAGAAUUCAGACCCAGCUAAUCAGAGAUUCCCCUGGCCAAGGUGGUUGAUUCUGGAUGGUCAUAUGACCCAAAGAGAGUAAGUCACGUCUUGGAAUGAGAUCGCUCCCUCUCUGAAGGAUGGGAAGCUGAGGAGGAACUGAACGGAUGAUGGAACGGAUACUACAAAAGACAAAACUGUCUGCCUAUUGGCUGCUCAAUCUACGAGGCUGCAUGUCCCAGCACUCAUCUGGCCUGGACUGCCUGGGGGAUUCCUGGAGAGCCACUGGUCUUCAGACCAUAUCAGAAGACCCAAUAAGCUGGGUUCUGACAUCAGCAAUAGGUGGCUUCAGGGAGGAUGUCGAGGUAGAUGUGCUCAUCAACAGGAAGCAAGGCAGGCAAAUGAGCAUCAUUGCUCUCCCCUCAACAUCAGCCUCAUAUCUGGGCGCCACCCACUCUAGGAGUGUCUUUUCUCUCCUCUGUCAAUCCUUCUCAGAAAUGCUCUCAUAGACUUAUCUGCUCAAAGACCUUAGUUGAUUUCCUGAUCCUACCAAGCUAGCUAUUGCAGAGGGUGUAAGACCAGAAGUGACCACUAGAGGACACUGUGUCUAAGAGGUUUGCUGGGCGGUUCCCACCCAAAGUGGGCAGGAGCUGGAGUUAGAAACCAGGCUUGCUCAGGCAUACAACAUUUUUUUUUUAUUUCAGUGAGUUUGAGCUGUUUGUGUGCUGCUAUGUGCAACUUGAAGUGUCAUAGUUGACAUAAGAGCAAGUGUCCUUCAUAUUCCUGCUUGAAACUCAAGAGGGCUUGAUCUGUGAAGGAGGUGGUAGCAAUUUCAACCAGAGGGCUUUGUAGAUCUGCUAUUAGAUGGCUGAAUGCUGGUGGGUUUUCCUGGGGAGAUGGUCUAUUGCAGAAGAUCUGGAGAGGAAAGGGAUGGGUAUCAGUCUGUGCCAUACAGAUCUGGAUCUGGAGAGAGACAGAGACAGAGACAGACAGAGAGAGGGAGAACGAGAGAGAGACACAGGGAGAGAGGCACAGAG